UAUGGGGUGACUGCGUACCUUUUGUAUAAUGGGUCAGCGACUUAUAUUCUGUAGCAAGGUUAACCGAAUAGGGGAGCCGAAGGGAAACCGAGUCUUAACUGGGCGUUAAGUUGCAGGGUAUAGACCCGAAACCCGGUGAUCUAGCCAUGGGCAGGUUGAAGGUUGGGUAACACUAACUGGAGGACCGAACCGACUAAUGUUGAAAAAUUAGCGGAUGACUUGUGGCUGGGGGUGAAAGGCCAAUCAAACCGGGAGAUAGCUGGUUCUCCCCGAAAGCUAUUUAGGUAGCGCCUCGUGAAUUCAUCUCCGGGGGUAGAGCACUGUUUCGGCAAGGGGGUCAUCCCGACUUACCAACCCGAUGCAAACUGCGAAUACCGGAGAAUGUUAUCACGGGAGACACACGGCGGGUGCUAACGUCCGUCGUGAAGAGGGAAACAACCCAGACCGCCAGCUAAGGUCCCAAAGUCAUGGUUAAGUGGGAAACGAUGUGGGAAGGCCCAGACAGCCAGGAUGUUGGCUUAGAAGCAGCCAUCAUUUAAAGAAAGCGUAAUAGCUCACUGGUCGAGUCGGCCUGCGCGGAAGAUGUAACGGGGCUAAACCAUGCACCGAAGCUGCGGCAGCGACACUAUGUGUUGUUGGGUAGGGGAGCG
RNAcentral lists this ribosomal RNA (650 nucleotides) under Escherichia coli. RNAcentral describes it as "partial 23S ribosomal RNA". It matches the Rfam family "Bacterial large subunit ribosomal RNA", at positions 587 to 1238 of the family's 2925-position model. The record is from RNAcentral. Lineage: Bacteria; Pseudomonadati; Pseudomonadota; Gammaproteobacteria; Enterobacterales; Enterobacteriaceae.